This is a long non-coding RNA of Lepidothrix coronata (blue-crowned manakin), 401 nucleotides long. RefSeq lists it as uncharacterized. The transcript is spliced from 3 exons. The record is from RefSeq and is a predicted model, not a curated record. NCBI's taxonomy places the organism in Eukaryota, Metazoa, Chordata, Aves, Passeriformes, Pipridae.
AGGAACUCUGCUUAAUUCUGGAUCAGAUGACUGAUAAAAAUACGAAUGAGUAAGAUCUGCAAUUUUUCUAAAGGAAUAUGGACAGAGCCUUUAAAGAUUCAGUGGCGCUCAGUAUGUCAAAACACUUGAGCAGCUGUAAGAUCAGAACUCAAAGGCCGAGCAAGGAUGCAGCCACCUAGGAGGCUGAUUAAGGCCUUCUAGGUUUGACUGAGAAGGGAACAGAACAAGGACACCUGAGAAAGAUGCUGAUUUCAGCCUGUUUAAACUGUUUCAUUGAUGUAAGUCCUCUGCUUCUGCAAGUACAUGAAACACUGGUCCAAAGAAAGAUUUUCAUCCAUACCCUAUUUUGAAAGGUCAAGUAGCAACAGCAAUGAACACAUGACAGCCAAAAAAAUUAAAAG